GACGUAGGAUGCAAGCGUUGUCCGGAAUUAUUGGGCGUAAAGAGUUCGUAGGCGGUUACUUAAGUCUGAUGUUAAAUACCGAGGCUCAACCUCGGCAUGGCAUUGGAAACUGGGUGGCUAGAGUGCGGUAGAGGUAUCGGGAAUUCCAGGUGUAGCGGUGAAAUGCGUAGAUAUCUGGAGGAGCACCGGUGGCGAAAGCGCGAGACUGGGCCGUAACUGACGCUGAGGAACGAAGGCCAGGGGAGCAAACGGG
RNAcentral lists this ribosomal RNA (253 nucleotides) under uncultured bacterium. RNAcentral's name for it is "partial 16S ribosomal RNA". It matches the Rfam family "Bacterial small subunit ribosomal RNA", at positions 524 to 776 of the family's 1533-position model. The record is from RNAcentral.